This is a long non-coding RNA of Bos taurus (domestic cattle), 506 nucleotides long. The record is from Ensembl. NCBI's taxonomy places the organism in Eukaryota, Metazoa, Chordata, Mammalia, Artiodactyla, Bovidae.
GGGAGAGGCCCUGACUACCAGCCAGGAUCAACCCUAAGGAAAUUUAGAUCUUUGAGUUUCCCCAACCCACCCUUCAUUUCCUGAUGCUUUUCUUUGGUUCUGCGCAUGCUCAAAGGCUUUCCAUGAAGACCGAAAGUCCUGACGCUGUGGACUUGGGCUCUGUUUCUCCAGCAUCCUCAGCCCCUCGGCGGAAGCCCCCUACUCCAUUCUGUUACAUGUCCAUGCUUUAUGUCCAGCCAGACCCUGGCCUUCCUCCAACCACGUGGCUCCAAGUCUGGCACCCCACAGGAAUGACUAGCCCUAGCUGAAGGCACACCAAACCUACCCCAGCCUCUGCUGGUCACAGCUGCUCCCACAACUGGGCCAAAGGUGGCAGGGUUGUGACCUGCUCCUGUAACUCCCUGUUCCACCCUCUUUUUCUGUCCUGGGUCUCUGGUCACUCAUAUCCCUGUCCUAGGGGCCAGGCCCUGGGAGGGGAGACAUUGCGUGGUUAUGCUCCUCAAGGC